This 250-nucleotide ribosomal RNA is filed under the name uncultured prokaryote. RNAcentral's name for it is "partial 16S ribosomal RNA". It matches the Rfam family "Bacterial small subunit ribosomal RNA", at positions 524 to 773 of the family's 1533-position model. The record is from RNAcentral.
UACGAGGGUGGCAGGCGUUGUCCGGAUUUACUGGGUAUAAAGGGCGUGUAGGCGGGCCGAUAAGUUGGGUGUGAAAUACCACGGCUUAACCGUGGGGCUGCACCCAAAACUGUAGGUCUUGAGUGUCGGAGAGGUAAACGGAAUUCCUAGUGUAGCGGUGAAAUGCGUAGAUAUUAGGAGGAACACCAGUGGCGAAGGCGGCUUACUGGAAGGCAACUGACGCUGAGGCGCGAAAGCGUGGGGAGCAAAC